CCAUGCCGCGUGUGUGAAGAAGGCCUUCGGGUUGUAAAGCACUUUCAGUCGUGAGGAAGGUGGUGGUGUUAAUAGCACUAUCAUUUGACGUUAGCGACAGAAGAAGCACCGGCUAACUCCGUGCCAGCAGCCGCGGUAAUACGGAGGGUGCGAGCGUUAAUCGGAAUUACUGGGCGUAAAGCGCAUGCAGGUGGUUUGUUAAGUCAGAUGUGAAAGCCCGGGGCUCAACCUCGGAAUUGCAUUUGAAACUGGCAGACUAGAGUACUGUAGAGGGGGGUAGAAUUUCAGGUGUAGCGGUGAAAUGCGUAGAGAUCUGAAGGAAUACCGGUGGCGAAGGCGGCCCCCUGGACAGAUACUGACACUCAGAUGCGAAAGCGUGGGGAGCAAACAGGAUUAGAUACCCC
RNAcentral lists this ribosomal RNA (404 nucleotides) under Vibrio parahaemolyticus. RNAcentral describes it as "bacterial SSU rRNA". It matches the Rfam family "Bacterial small subunit ribosomal RNA", at positions 392 to 788 of the family's 1533-position model. The record is from RNAcentral. Lineage: Bacteria; Pseudomonadati; Pseudomonadota; Gammaproteobacteria; Vibrionales; Vibrionaceae.